Molecule: ribosomal RNA, 467 nt
Filed under: uncultured bacterium
Lineage: Bacteria
Description: partial 16S ribosomal RNA
Rfam family: Bacterial small subunit ribosomal RNA
Source: RNAcentral
GACGAACGCUGGCGGCGUGCUUAACACAUGCAAGUCGAGCGAGAAACUUCGGUUUCUAGCGGCGGACGGGUGAGUAACACGUGGGCAACCUGCCUCACAAUGGGGGAUAGCCUUCCGAAAGGAAGAUUAAUACCGCAUAACACAAAGGAAACGCAUGUUUCUUUUGCCAAAGAAUUUCGUUGUGAGAUGGGCCCGCGGCGCAUUAGCUUGUUGGUGAGGCAACGGCUCACCAAGGCGACGAUGCGUAGCCGACCUGAGAGGGUGAUCGGCCACAUUGGAACUGAGACACGGUCCAGACUCCUACGGGAGGCAGCAGUGGGGAAUAUUGCACAAUGGAGGAAACUCUGAUGCAGCAACGCCGCGUGAGUGAUGAAGGUCUUCGGAUUGUAAAGCUCUGUCUUCUGGGACGAUAAUGACGGUACCAGAGGAGGAAGCCACGGCUAACUACGUGCCAGCCGCCGCUGUAA